Molecule: non-coding RNA, 32 nt
Filed under: Homo sapiens (human)
Lineage: Eukaryota; Metazoa; Chordata; Mammalia; Primates; Hominidae
Source: RNAcentral
UAGACUGCAAUAAUACAGAUAAUGCCAAGGUC